GUGGCGGGCUUCGAGGUGGGAGCGGUUUAAAAUGCAAAUAACGUGGCCCGAGCGAAUGGUCGCAAAGGGGGGGGGGCUUAUCUCGUAGACCGUCUUGGCUACCGGAGAAAUACGUGUCUGCCUGUCCCAUACCUGAACGGGGGGAUGUCAGGCAGGAGAAACGCUACGCCUUGUCUCCAAAGGGAAGCUGCCUUUACCUUGGAGAUGACCUUGCUGCAUCUAAAGCUUAAUGCCUUUAAUCUAUGAUAUGAGUUAAAUCUAAGAUGAUUCUCAAAUCCUUUACAGCUUCAACGGACCUUCCUCUGACAGAAUGUUAGGUAGUUGAACAGCAAGAGCUCUAUCUGGGGGCAACAGCUAUUGCAACUAAGUCAUAAAAUUAAAAGUCCACACUGGAAAAGAGCAGGACCUCUACAUCAAAGGCAAGGAAAAGGUGAAUUGGCUGCCCUAAUGCCUCAAGAACCCCAAAUGCCUCUUAGCUUUCUCCUUCUCCUUUCAACCUUACUCCCACUGUGUCAGUCUUGGGCCCAUAGGAGCUACUGUGAAGAUGGCAUUCCAUAGGAGGGCAACUAGUCAACUGGAAGUGAUUUGAAGUAAAACAAAGUUACCUAGCUAUAUGAGCAAUGGGAAUUCUUUGUUAGAAAAAGUUGAAGAGUCAUCUGUUGGGGGUUGCUAUUGUGGUAGAUUUUCUGCAUCAUCCGGACUGAACUACAUGAUCUGGAAAGUCCCUUUUAGCUAUAUUGUGCCUGCCUUCACAUGAAUAGGUUUUGCACACUUCCAUAGUAAUGUAUAAUCAGUUGUGAAAAAAGUAGUGGGAAAUGUCAUAAGGAAAGAUGAAAUAGUCACAAGAUGCAACCGUGACUUAUCUCCAGUUGCUUCAGUACUAGCAGCAUGAUUGUCUGAAGAGUUGUUUCCCUCAAGCUAACAACCUUGGUAGUAAAUUGAAUUUGUUAUAUGUUAUGUCCUUGCUCUUUCCUUGGUUGUCUUCCAUGACAAACUCCUUUGAUUAUUAUUUAUGACGUUUAACCAACUCAGGUUUGAAGUUGUUGUUUAGAUGCCAGAAUAUCACAAUUUGUGUACCUGAACAACUGCUUCAUACAUUACAGUAAAUACCAUUUCGGAUUCAACAUUUACCAUAGAACUGAAAAAUAUAUCUUAUCAUAUAUCCCUCACUGUGCAAACAAAAUAUAGAUAUGCUUUUAUCAUAUAAAAUCAUAUUUCAGAAUUCUGGCUAUUGUGGCUAAGGAGUGAGAAUCCAAACUUCUGAUCAAAAGCAAUUGUUGAAAAUUGAGUAUAUUCCAAGCACACUGAUAAGUUCAAGGAUGAAGAGCUCUGAGGUCCAUUUCCUUCUUGUGUUUCCUAGAAUAUUUGAAUGGAGAGCAUCUAUUCUGUCCCUGAGUGACCGUCUCCUACACCAUAACUAAAGCACAUAGCGCAGCACCAUCCAUUCAGAGCAGCACAUCCUGGGCAUGGCAUCUGGGAAAUAUAAUCUAGAGCAUUAACUGGUGGCUCACAAACAUUGAUGCUGCUUCCCUAGUGCCAGACUCCUCAGUGCAGUCAAAGGCAGAGAUGAAAGAUUUAAUAGAGCUGGCAUAUAAAAAGGGAAAGUGAAAAACCAAUUAAACCCACUAUCCUUUGUACCUAAAUAUUUUUCACCCUUAUUUUGCUCAGUUCAGUAAUUUCCUGACAAGACUGGGAAGAGGGUGAUGUGAUGGAUGCUUUUACUGUGGACUAGUAUAGUUGCCAAAAAGCUUCUAAAGAACUCAGAAAAACAAAGUUCUGGCUGCACACGCCUUUGUCUCGACCUAAGAGGAAAGGUGGGAAUUUCCUUGGCAGGGGGCAAAGAAUUCUCUUAUCCAAAUAAGGAAUGUUGCUUCAGCUGCAAAUAAUGGUUUGAAAUGUAGCAUGCCACUCAGAGCCCACAUGCAACCCUCUGCACCCCUAAUAUGAAAGCCUGGUGGCCAUCUGUUCCCAUGAUGGAAAGGAUCUGAAGGCAAUGCAAUGGAGACAGCCCUAGCCCUUCAUCUGGCCUUCAGCAUGACAGGGAAGAUCUUCCCCAUCUGACAAACGUUUGGCUCCUGUAGGAUUAGAACAAUUCAUCUGAACAUAUGCUGGGACUCUGCCUCUAUAAGAAAAUACAGUUGCUCAUGUUACACACGCUGCUCCCAGGUUUGGCUUAUGGUCACUUACUCACACACUCACAGCCUGUUGAGGCAGGCAGA
Python bivittatus (Burmese python) is the source of this 2219-nucleotide long non-coding RNA. RefSeq lists it as uncharacterized. NCBI's taxonomy places the organism in Eukaryota, Metazoa, Chordata, Lepidosauria, Squamata, Pythonidae. The record is from RefSeq and is a predicted model, not a curated record.